UGCGUAGGCGGGUUUCUAAGUCAGAGGUGAAAGCCUGGAGCUCAACUCCAGAACUGCCUUUGAUACUGGAAGUCUUGAGUAUGGCAGAGGUGAGUGGAACUGCGAGUGUAGAGGUGAAAUUCGUAGAUAUUCGCAAGAACACCAGUGGCGAAGGCGGCUCACUGGGCCAUUACUGACGCUGAGGCUCAAAGCAUGGGUAGCGAACA
Molecule: ribosomal RNA, 206 nt
Filed under: uncultured bacterium
Lineage: Bacteria
Description: partial 16S ribosomal RNA
Rfam family: Bacterial small subunit ribosomal RNA
Source: RNAcentral